UACGUAGGGGGCAAGCGUUGUCCGGAUUUAUUGGGCGUAAAGAGCGUGUAGGCGGCCUGGCAGGUCAGCUGUGAAAACUCGAGGCUCAACCUCGAGACGUCGGUUGAAACCACCUGGCUAGAGUCCGGAAGAGGAGAGUGGAAUUCCUGGUGUAGCGGUGAAAUGCGCAGAUAUCAGGAGGAACACCGGUGGCGAAGGCGGGUCUCUGGGCCGAUACUGACGCUGAGGAGCGAAAGCGUGGGGAGCGAACAGG
Molecule: ribosomal RNA, 253 nt
Filed under: uncultured bacterium
Lineage: Bacteria
Description: partial 16S ribosomal RNA
Rfam family: Bacterial small subunit ribosomal RNA
Source: RNAcentral